UUCUGAGCAGUAUCCCCAGAUGCAAGAGAAAGCUUCAGAAUAGAGUCCAGAAGUAAAGACAGCAUUGCAGAACCAAAGUGCUGCAUUGGAUCUGACAGUAUGGCUCAAGGCCUAAUGUUUCUCAAACAUAUGUAUUGAAGCCCAUGUAGCAGCCCUACGUAUUUCAGAUACUGAUAAUUCAGGAUGUCUGAAAGUGGCACCAAAUCAAGCAGGAGGCAGCGAUGACACCACCAAUGUAAGAAUUUCUUCCAUUUCUGCACGCUAUGAGGCAGAGGACUGCUAGGUUUGGAUGAAAUGCAUAACUUGUGUCUUGGACAAGAGAUAAUGGUCAGGAGCUUGGAUGACAUUUGGACACAUAGAUGAAGCAGAUGUUGUGGAAGUUGCUGGUGCUUGCAGCUGUUGCUGCUCCUGGAUCCCUCUCUCUCCUCAGCAAUAUUCUUUUCAGAAUUAAACUGGUGUUUUUUCUUCUGGAGCGAUAAACAAUGGUUGGGAGUUAUUCUGUCCAGCAAGUCUUCUGUCCUCUUGGGCAGCUUUCUGAUAUCUCUCUCAGCUGUCUCAUGCAAUUGCUUUGUAUAUACUCAUGGGGGA
Gopherus evgoodei (Goodes thornscrub tortoise) is the source of this 588-nucleotide long non-coding RNA. RefSeq lists it as uncharacterized. The transcript is spliced from 3 exons. NCBI's taxonomy places the organism in Eukaryota, Metazoa, Chordata, Testudines, Testudinidae. The record is from RefSeq and is a predicted model, not a curated record.